GACGAACGCUGGCGGCGUGCUUAACACAUGCAAGUCGAACGGAAAGGCCCUGUUUUUGUGGGGUGUUCGAGUGGCGAACGGGUGAGUAUCACGUGAGUAACCUGCCCUUGACUUUGGGAUAACUUCAGGAAACUCGAGCUAAUACCGGGCAUGAGCUCCUGCUGCAUGGUGUGUGUGGGUAAGUUUCGGCGGUUGGGGAUGGACUCGCGGCUUAUCGGCUUGUUGGUGGGGUAGUGGGUUAACAAGGCUUUGACGGGUAGCCGGCCUGAGAGGGUGACAGGCCACAUUGUGACUGAGAUAGGGCCCAGACUCCUACGGGAGGCAGCAGUGGGGAAUAUUGCACAAUGGGCGGAAGCCUGAUGCAGCAACGCCGCGUGCGGGAUGACGGCUUGCGGGUUGUAAACCGCUUUCGCCUGUGACGAAGCGUGAGUGACGGUAAUGGGUAAAGAAGCACCGGCUAACUACGUG
This 468-nucleotide ribosomal RNA is filed under the name uncultured bacterium. RNAcentral describes it as "partial 16S ribosomal RNA". It matches the Rfam family "Bacterial small subunit ribosomal RNA", at positions 28 to 507 of the family's 1533-position model. The record is from RNAcentral.